Molecule: ribosomal RNA, 517 nt
Filed under: uncultured bacterium
Lineage: Bacteria
Description: partial 16S ribosomal RNA
Source: RNAcentral
GGAGUUAGCCGGUGCUUCUUCUGCGAGUAACGUCACAGAUGUAAGGUAUUAACUUACACCCUUUCCUCCUCGCUGAAAGUGCUUUACAACCCGAAGGCCUUCUUCACACACGCGGCAUGGCUGCAUCAGGGUUUCCCCCAUUGUGCAAUAUUCCCCACUGCUGCCUCCCGUAGGAGUCUGGGCCGUGUCUCAGUCCCAGUGUGGCUGAUCAUCCUCUCAGACCAGCUAGGGAUCGUCGCCUAGGUGAGCCUUUACCUCACCUACUAGCUAAUCCCACCUGGGCUUAUCCAUCAGCGCAAGGCCCGAAGGUCCCCUGCUUUCCCCCGGUAGGGCGUAUGCGGUAUUAGCAGUCGUUUCCAACUGUUAUCCCCCGACAAACUGGGCAAAUUCCCAGGCAUUACUCACCCGUCCGCCGCUCGUCAUCUUCAAAACGCAAGCUUUUAGAAACUGUUACCGCUCGACUUGCAUGUGUUAGGCCUGCCGCCAGCGUUCAAUCUGAACCAAGAUCAAAUUCUGA